UACGGAGGGGGCUAGCGUUGUUCGGAAUCACUGGGCGUAAAGGGCGUGUAGGCGGUCCGCUAAGUCUGAUGUGAAAGCCCGGGGCUCACCCCCGGAAGGGCAUUGGAAACUGGCGGACUCGAGUCCCGGAGGGGAAGGUGGAAUUCCUGGUGUAGCGGUGAAAUGCGUAGAUAUCAGGAGGAAUACCGGUGGCGAAGGCGGCCUUCUGGACGGUGACUGACGCUGAGACGCGAAAGCGUGGGGAGCAAACAGG
Molecule: ribosomal RNA, 253 nt
Filed under: uncultured bacterium
Lineage: Bacteria
Description: partial 16S ribosomal RNA
Rfam family: Bacterial small subunit ribosomal RNA
Source: RNAcentral